GCAGGACUGGUGCGAGUCCAGGAUGUGGUGGUGGUUGGGGGCCACUGACGUCCGCAAGGGCUCCAGCCCAGAACCUCUCCUCUACGUAGUUACCACUAUGUGCCCCGAAAGGACCCAGAGCCAUCCAACGUCCAGUCUUGGCAGGGCGACCAGGAGUGGAAAGCCUUGGGAGGCUGGGCGCGUGUGACCUGCAGUGAGCACAAAACACUCGCCGUGUGGUCCUGGGAUCCUAGGGAAGGUUCCGGAGACCCGGGUUCCAGCACGGCCCUGGGAAUCACUAGCUCUAUCUGGAACCUGUCAGGAAACAUGACUUGUCCCUCCCACGUCUUCCCAGAAUCGAGAGAUGCACAGUCUCAGACGGGCAGAAGAGCCUCGGACCAUUACAUGCUCAAAGCCAGAUCACCAACUCACCAGCUUGCUAAAUUUACCAAACAUGCCUUGAAGACUAGCUUUCUUGAAGAUGUUCAGUGACUAUGAAUAUGGCCUUCUUAAUAAAUUGGUCUUAAAUAUA
Leopardus geoffroyi (Geoffroy's cat) is the source of this 511-nucleotide long non-coding RNA. RefSeq lists it as uncharacterized. The record is from RefSeq and is a predicted model, not a curated record. The transcript is spliced from 2 exons. Lineage: Eukaryota; Metazoa; Chordata; Mammalia; Carnivora; Felidae.